Molecule: small nucleolar RNA, 78 nt
Organism: Tripterygium wilfordii
Lineage: Eukaryota; Viridiplantae; Streptophyta; Magnoliopsida; Celastrales; Celastraceae
Product: small nucleolar RNA R160
Exons: 1
Source: RefSeq, a predicted model, not a curated record
AGCAAGAUGAUGAAGUUCUUUAAUCUGAAUGUGGCUGUUGAAUUUGAUCUUAUUAGCCUUCAAAGUUCUCUGAUUGCU